Long non-coding RNA from Dicentrarchus labrax (European seabass), 3478 nucleotides. RefSeq lists it as uncharacterized. The record is from RefSeq and is a predicted model, not a curated record. Lineage: Eukaryota; Metazoa; Chordata; Actinopteri; Moronidae. The transcript has 2 exons.
AAAAGCACAUUUUGUCAGAUUUCUUUGUCAGUUAAAUACCUACAAAUAUUGCUUUAGAUUGAGAGUUUUGGCUGAUCAAUGAGUGUCUGAUUGAGUCCCCAAUGUAAAGUCCAAAGAAUGAUCUCCCACCGGUGACUGGUUGUAAAUUUAAUCACUGAUGUAUCCAUGCAGAUUGUUUUAAUUUAGAGAUAUCUUUCUUUGGAAUUUCUGCCACCACACCAAAACAACUGGAUUGAAUUGAAUUUUAUUUGUGCAGCUCUAAGCAUUAAACACAAUUACACUUACAGCACAAUGUUCUCUUUAGAAGCGAUGCCUCAUAGAUGUGAAGUAGAUUUUGGCUGUUUUUCAACAGAUCAUAAUUAAAAUGUGUAGAGACAAGAUUGAUUUAAACAAGCAUUAAACAUAAACAAUUUAAUUUUUUCUGUGAAGUGAAAUAAUUUUAAUAAUAAUAUUGCAAUAAAAAAAACUGUAUUUUAAAGUUUGCUAUUGGAGCUACCCUUAAAAUUUUGAUCAAGAAUUGUACCUCAAUGUCACUUUCUCUAUAUGAUUUGAUAAAUAAGUUACAAUAUAUUGCUUUAAAAUGUGUAUUUUGCUUUGAUUCUGUGGCAGACCAUCUUUUAAAUUCACUCAGAUGCUCACUUCUCUAUCCUGGCACUGAUGGUGCACAGCUGGAAAAGGUAUUAUGGGCAGGUAUCUAACAGACACGUGGCAAGCUGCAGAGUUCCUGGGGAGUGAGGAAGGAAGGAUGUUCCGUCACUGCUGCCCACAUUAGUGCCCCCUGUGUUGGUGCUGACCGAUGGAGGAACCACCUCCGGUGUGCACUGUUGUGGUUCACUUCAGUGGAUGUGCAUCAUGGGCAGUCCCUUGUAUGAAGUGGAGGUGUGCGUCUGAUGGUGUGUCACGUUGUGUCCUUAUUGAUCAACCACGUGAAGCACCCGUCUGCUCUGUGUAUCCAAGUGGUCACACAUUUCUAUUUGAAGAAUGCUUUCAUCUAUAAAGGGCAUAAUGUGGUUGUCUUAACAGAGAGAGUGGGGGUGCAUGGGGCUUCACGUCCUCCUUCUUCUCUGAUGUAGCCAUUUUUCUGAAACUGUCUUCGUUCAGCGAGCCUCGCAGCAGACACAGAACGUCGUUUUUGAUUAAUGACAGUGAAACAAAAGUGAUAUCCACAAAUAUAAAUAGCAGCUGCAAGUGGGAGGGCUGGAAAUUUAACAUCCUCUAACUUGUGAAGUGGGAGCAAGUUUAACUCUUAGAAAGACUUAGAAAUUGACUGGCUGCAGAUGGGGCCUUUCAAGCUAGAUGCCACACAGUCAUCCUUUAAAACACUCUAUUUUGUACUCAAUAUUUUUUAUAUAAUAAGUUAAAUAGAGGUGGGGGUCAUACGGUAAUUUCUUGUAUAACUACCCCACAAUAUUUUGCUUAUAAUGAGAGUAAAAGUCUCAUAACACAAACAAAUGUUAAAUACAUGAUACUAUAUUGCAAAACAGCAGUCAAUCAUAUAUCACAAUAUCUUUGUUACUGAAGAUAAAAUGAUUGUUUAAAUACAAUAGACAGUACAGUGUUGCACACCUGGCAGACAGACUGUGGAGAAAGAGAAUGUUUCUUAGAAACAACUAUAAACCAUUUAUUUACCAUUAACAAACACGCUUUAGUAGUAAGUUGUGACCAAGAUACAUACUGAAUGGGACAAUUUACAGUUGAAAAAUCAGUCUAGCACUAGAGUCGCUUUGGUUAUGGGCCUUCAUCAGGCAUCAGAAACAACUAAAGCUGCAGGCUAUGACAACCUAUCAAGAAGCAGAGCCAAAUAUCGAACACCUCAUGUAAUAAUAAAUACAUAAAAUAAAACAUCCAUAAAUUGUGACUAACAAUAUUUGUCAAAAUACAUAAUUGAUGACUGAUUUUGACAUAUACUGCAUGAUGCCUGACCAAAGACCAUCACCAAAAUGUUGUGUCUCCAAUAAGCUCGGUGUUGACAGUGAGCAGGAAUUCAACCUUUACUUCCACAGAGAGCUGAGACAAAAUGUGUACCAAAGUGUGGAGAAUAGCUCAGGACGGUUAGCUGACUCCGGCUAUCUCGCAGCCAAACUAGAGAUAGACUGAAGAGUGACUGAUGUGAGUUCUCAGUUUGUGUUUGUGGAAGAGAUAUCGUCUCUGGCUGCGAGAUGCGAAACCGUGGAAGUCGAGAGAACAGUGUGUGGAUUCUACUUUAUUCAGUCUGUCCCUGCCAGGUAGCUAACACCAGCUAGCCAGCUGUCUGCAGAUAUUGGGCUGAUGUCAACACAAACAGUGCAGAAGAAUUAGUAAGCAGACUUUCAGUUUCAGCCUUGCCUGUGCUCAAAGCGGAGGUGCUGUUCUUAUUUGAACUUGUAACGUGACAGUCAAUUCGUAGCUGUAUGGGACAUCUUUUAUUUUUUUAAUCUGUGUCAUAUGUGUGUCAUGUUUUGCAUUUGCUAAAGAAAAAAAAUCCUUGGUCCACAUUUUUAUAUUCAGGGAAACAACAGUGUUGCAACAUAGAACUUCAUGUGAAAAUUGUAACAGUGGAUGAAGCUUACAGACCAUGAUGGCUUAAAGAGGAAUGUAUUUUCACCAUCUGUCCUUUGAGGAUGAGAAAUAAAAUUGCACAAUGGAAACCUGUUGUGAUUAAUGAUAAGGUUCCUAAGAAACACUGUUUUUGUUCAUGGAGGUGUUCCAUGAUUUGUAUCCCCUCAAGAGGUCUCAACAUGCUGGGACUUGAGUCUCCUACGGCCCGACCUCUAUUUUCCACCCGAGGUAGAAGUGGGACUGCUAAUGUGCAAAUUGCUUUGCUUAAGUGAGAAUGAUGGUUACCCGGAGGUGAGAUAUAGCUAAACUAUUGGUUGUCAUGCAGGCCUAAAAUAACACAGCAGAUAAGCAAUCAAUAUCAGUUUCUGGAAAAAUUCUAAGACGAAGCACCAAAAACAUGCGAUAAAACCUCUGAAUCAUUCUGAAUCAGUUCUAACACGCAGCGUAUUCCUUUUUUAAAACACAGUCAAACUUUAGUAGACGUCCCCUCUGUGCCCUCACUGUUUCUCCAGAGCUAAUAACUCUUUCCGAUGGAUUUUUGAUCUAAAAUAACAAGCCAGGGUUGAACAUGAGUGGGAUGGUCGACUGGAUCUCAAUGUAAAUGUCCUGACUUCCUCUCUCUACUGUAGUAGACCAGUGAGCGUAACAGACACAUUAUGGUGUCUGUUAAGUCCAGAGCAGCCGGGAUUGCACAGUUAUACAGUUCAUCAGGUCCACAAAGGAGACCCUUUGAUUUGUAGUAGUAGAAAAUCCAUUGAAGGACCACACACUGAUAGUGGAACAACCCCAACUUUAAAGCAAUGUGGAUGUAUUACAACAAAUGCAGUGUGGUCAGAGUCAAUGUCUCACUGACUGACACAUGUUUAAAUGCACAUGUGCCACAGUUUCAUAUAGACCUCUCUUGAAUUUGCAAUGAAACCUAAUAAAAUUAUUAUUCCUA